Long non-coding RNA from Pteropus alecto (black flying fox), 2501 nucleotides. RefSeq lists it as uncharacterized. NCBI's taxonomy places the organism in Eukaryota, Metazoa, Chordata, Mammalia, Chiroptera, Pteropodidae. The transcript has 4 exons. The record is from RefSeq and is a predicted model, not a curated record.
UCCCUUCUCCGCGGGGCGCGCGGGAGAGGGGCGUUCGCAGCCCCCCAAAAGUGCAGGCCUCGCAGUAGCUUGGCUUCACAUCGGGACCCAAAAAUACAUCCACCACCGGUUCUGCGCCCUGGGACACUGCUGGGCCAUCCCGCCCCGUGGAAGAAAGGCGGCAUCUCCAUCCUAUUUUUUAGAUGCUGCUAUUCCGACCACUCAGGCUCUUUCGCAAAGCCCAGCGCUGUCCAGUCCACUCACAGGGCCUUGUCCUGGCUUUGAGUCCAAGCUCCGCCCAGCAGGCUGUGCGCCCUUGGGCAAGUCACUUUCCUCCUCCGUACCUGUUUCUAUUAUAAAAUUAUAAAAUGCAAAAACACGGCUGACAUGGGAACGUUGUGUCAGGGGUGGCAUUUAAGCAAGGCGGCCCUGAAGUGGAAGUCCCCUGAAGGCAAGGAGAUGCCAUGUUUUUGACCCAACUAAGUGCCUAAUGCUUGCAAGAAACGCUAUCUAAUGCGCUAAGCUAUCUAAUGCGCUAAGUGCCAGUCGGAGCAACGUGCUGCGUUCUUCUCGUUGAGGUCACACAAAAAUGACCUAUGGGGUAGGCGGUAUUGAGUUCGUUUUGCUCAGUCAGAGAUGAGAGGACCAACAGGGCCUGCUUUAGAGGUCAAGUCUUCCUCCAUUAAGUAGGGCCAAGUUAUUUCCGUUUAAAUGGAAAUGACUCUACUCCCUCUGCCAGGGGUCCAAGACAUGGACCGCAGAAGGCCUGAAAUCUCUCCCUAGGUAUUUAUUUGUAACCAGAAUUUGGGGUUGGAUUAUUUGCCUUCCAGCAGGCACAUUCUACCUAUCAGAUCUUAAAGCUCAAGCAGUGUCUUUAACGUUCCAUACAGUCCGUGGUGAGUGAUCGAUAAAUGUUAAAUAAUUGGCAUACAAAGCUCAUGGAUACAGAAUGCAAAAACCUUGGGACUUUUCCCCAAAACCCAGAAAUUCAUCUAAUCCUUCCCCUCCAAACCUGAUUUGAGUUCAGGUCAAUUCAUACACAUCUCAAUUGCACAGGCUUAAAGGGAGAGUAAUAAUGUUUGAUGACCAGCUCCCAGAAGAGAGAAAAAAACGCACAGCAAAAACCCUGAUUUGUAGUGUUGGCUGAUUUUGAUGGCGUAUAAAUACGCUCACCAUGGCCAAUUUCCUCCUACCACUGUGAUGUUACUGAACAUAGGAUCAAAGAAGUACCAGGGUCUAGUGCACUGCAAAGCAUGUCCCAUGGGCCACAGGCUGUGAUAAGCACAUGCAUUUUCUCAUUUAACCCUCAUAAAAUACAAGGUAGGUACUCAUAUCCUCAUUUCAUAGAUAAACUCAAUUUUUUUCUUUUUUUCAGUGAAAGUAGCAAAGCCAAAGUUCUAAACCAGGCUGAUGCAUGGAAAAGCCUCUGCCCUAACAGUUUUCCCAUUUUGUGACAUGACUUACAGUAAGAUGUACAUUGGACAUCCAGACCUGGUACGUUCCUAGGCACAAAAAGAUACCCUUAUUGAGUACAAUGCGACCCUUAUUCUUCUAUUUUUUUCUUUAAAUGCAGGUGCACUCCACUAAAAUGAGUUCGUGACCCACAAAUGAGAUGAAACAGUCUGAGAAACACUAUGCUGAGGGUUGCUGCUACACAAAGCCUGCUCACAGGCAGCUAAAUGGAAGGAGACCAGGAAGACUCGUCUACAUUUUGCUGCUCACAAGUGAGAAGGAAUUUACUACCCAUCUCAAGAGCACAGAUUAUGCGUCACCGCUGUCUUAAAUGUUUUACUUCUACUUACGCCUCACGGUAAAGCCUAACAGGGGACAUACCUCCCUUCGGCAAGUCCACAGAGGUCGCCGGCUUCUCCGGCUUGGGGGCAGGAGGCUGUCUCGGUUUCUUCGUUUGAGGUGGGAGUGAAGACUGGCGUUUGGGGGCCAUGCCGUGAGGAAAAGUCGGAGAGCCAGACCCAGAGGAAGAUGCGCGCCUGGAAGAAGCUCGGAGAACUGAGACUGCCCCAGAAAACUUAAACGUGACCUUUCCUCACAUCAGCCUGGAACAUUCUUCGGUCCCCCCAAACCCCACUGCUGUGUCUGGCUAACUCCUUCCCAACCUCCAGGUCUCAGCUUGGAGGGAUAAAUGAAUAUUGAAAUAAAAGAUUCUCAAUCAAGAAUUACAGAAGAAGAGAGGAAAGCAGGUACCUUUGAGAGGAUUCGGAGUAGCCAUUCAUUCUUCGCUCAUUUCACAAAAGGACAGAAAGUUAGGAGUUUGAAGAACCUAUAGAAAGCAUCUGAUCUGGGAGUCACAAACCCCAAUGCCUUUUGAGCCCUGUCAGGCAAGCAAGUGGAAUUUACAACAGCAAGUGGAAGGCAAGUUGGUUCAACCACAACCUUGAAAUCAGCCUUGAAACUGCCUUCAAGAGACUUAAUCUUGUUAACUGCGCUGCAGUCCAAUCCCAGCCUUGCUUUCUCCCACCUCCAUGUCAUCUUCUUUGUAUCCCCUUCUUAAUUUCAAAUGCAUA